RNAcentral lists this ribosomal RNA (1429 nucleotides) under Dinophyceae sp. Its description in RNAcentral is "partial large subunit ribosomal RNA". It matches the Rfam family "Eukaryotic large subunit ribosomal RNA", at positions 23 to 1464 of the family's 3401-position model. Lineage: Eukaryota; Dinophyceae. The record is from RNAcentral.
ACCCGCUGAAUUUAAGCAUAUAAGUAGGCGGCGCGCAAGAAACCUACAAGGACUCCCAUUGUAGUGGCGAACGCGCAGGGGCAGACUCAUGGUGGAAAGUGGGGUGCAUGGUCCUGAUGUGUAGUCUUUUAAUGUGUUACUGGCAGAGAUGCAGCUGCAGGCUCUUGGAAAAGGGCAUCAAAGAGGGUGAAAACCCUGUGUCGUGACCGUUGCUCCUGCAUUCGGUGCUCAAAUUACGAGUUGUGUACCCUGGCAUUGGUGCAUGAAGUGGUGGUAAUUUUCAUCCAAAGCUGCAGAAGUGUUUGAGACCAAAAGUAAACAAGUACCUUGUGGGAAAGGUGAAACAGGAUUUUGAAAAGAGAGACACAUUUGCUUGAACUUGCUGAAUUUGAAGUGAGGGGUGUCAAUGUAAGGUGGUUUGAUCUCUGUGAUCCAAAGUGUUUGUCUGCUGCUUUGUGCACGUUUUGUGUUGGCAUGUCAUGAACAGAAUGCGCACAGUGCAGCUGGCCCAUCAAUCAAACUGAGCAUGUUGCAGGGCAGUAGCAAGGACCUCGUUGGCCAUCCCUGGGUGCGGGGCGAUCUGUGCAUUGUUCGCGUAUGUGCAUUUGGGUGACUACAUGGUUUUAUUUGGCCCGUCUUGAAACACGGAUCAAGGAGUCUAACAUACGUGCAAGUUCAUGAAUGGUAGGUUUGUGUGCAUAAUGAAGAUACUAGCUGCAAGCAUUGCACCAGCAGCCGGCCAUUUCCUUGCGAAGGGCCCGCGUAUGAGCACUCCUGUCAGGACCCGAAAGAUGGUGAACUAUGUCUGUGUAAGACAAACUUAGGGGAAACUCUGAUGGAGGCCUGAAGCGAUACUAACGUGCAAAUUGUUCGUUACACAUGGACAUAGGGGUGAAAGACUAAUCGAACCAUCUAGUAGCUGGUUCCCUCUGAAGUUUCCCUCAGGAAAGCUGGAGCUGCAUAGUUUUACUGGGUAAAGCAAAUGAUUCGAGGCAUUGGGGGCUUAUCGCCUUUGACCUAUUCUCAAACUCUAAAUCGGUAAAGUCUAGUAGUUACUUGUGUGAGCUGCUGGCGCAAGUGACAUCUCCAAGUGGGCCAUUCUUGGUAAGCAGAACUGGCGAUGAGAGAUGAAUCUAAUGUUAGGCUAAGGUGCCUUAUUGCAUGCUCAUCAGAUACCAUAAAGGGUGUUGGCUCAUCCUGACAGCAGGACGGUGGUCAUGGAAGUUGAAAUCCGCUAAGGAGUGUGUAAUAACUCACCUGCCGAAUGGACUAGCCCCGAAAAUGGAUGGCACUCAAGUUGGCAACUGAUACCGAACCAAUGCUGCAAUGUGGUUGCAUCAAUGAGUAGGAGGGCAUGUGGUUUUGUGAUGAAGAUUGAGGUGCAAACCUUGACAGAACAGCCUUGGGUGCAGAUCUUGGUGGUAGUAGC